This 450-nucleotide ribosomal RNA is filed under the name uncultured bacterium. RNAcentral describes it as "bacterial SSU rRNA". It matches the Rfam family "Bacterial small subunit ribosomal RNA", at positions 354 to 796 of the family's 1533-position model. The record is from RNAcentral.
GUGGGGAAUAUUGGACAAUGGGCGCAAGCCUGAUCCAGCCAUGCCGCGUGGGUGAAGAAGGCCUUCGGGUUGUAAAGCCCUUUUGUUGGGAAAGAAAAGCAGUCGGUUAAUACCCGAUUGUUCUGACGGUACCCAAAGAAUAAGCACCGGCUAACUUCGUGCCAGCAGCCGCGGUAAUACGAAGGGUGCAAGCGUUACUCGGAAUUACUGGGCGUAAAGCGUGCGUAGGUGGUUGUUUAAGUCCGUUGUGAAAGCCCUGGGCUCAACCUGGGAAUUGCAGUGGAUACUGGGCAACUAGAGUGUGGUAGAGGAUGGCGGAAUUCCCGGUGUAGCAGUGAAAUGCGUAGAGAUCGGGAGGAACAUCUGUGGCGAAGGCGGCCAUCUGGACCAACACUGACACUGAGGCACGAAAGCGUGGGGAGCAAACAGGAUUAGAAACCCUAGUAGUCC